UACAGAGGGUGCAAGCGUUGUCCGGAAUCAUUGGGCGUAAAGAGCGUGUAGGCGGCUUGGUAAGUCCGCUGUGAAAGUCCAGGGCUCAACCCUGGAAUGCCGGUGGAAACUGUCAAGCUUGAGUCCGGAAGAGGCGAGUGGAAUUCCUGGUGUAGCGGUGAAAUGCGCAGAUAUCAGGAGGAACACCAAUGGCGAAGGCAGCUCGCUGGGACGGUACUGACGCUGAGACGCGAAAGCUAGGGGAGCAAACAGG
RNAcentral lists this ribosomal RNA (253 nucleotides) under uncultured bacterium. Its description in RNAcentral is "partial 16S ribosomal RNA". It matches the Rfam family "Bacterial small subunit ribosomal RNA", at positions 524 to 776 of the family's 1533-position model. The record is from RNAcentral.